UGCAUUAUCUUAGUAAUAAUAUUUUUUACUGGGCUAGUUGAGCUCACCCUUUCUUUCAUUGUUCUCUUCAGGAAAUGAGAAUAUAGCUGGGACGAGUCAGGGAAUGGAGUGAUGGUCCGGGAUAAAUGGCUUUAUUAGUCCUCACUAUUCUACGAAAUAAUUUGAUAAUAAUUGUAAUAAGGACACCAUUAAGUGUGGAUAUUGUCUAGAUGACAAUAUUCUUGUUUAAACUUUCAGCUAUGUUUUGUUGUAUUUUACAUGACUGUUGUAUAAUUAAGUUGUAUUUGAAUUUAUGUACCAUGUAUCUGACAACUCAAGAUGGGUGAUGUAUACCUGUUUUGGGGGUGUCACAAAUUUCACCAUGUAUGCGGUACUUCGCAUAGAUAGAUUAUUCCAACAUAAUAAUAAAGAAUGGAAUAACAACUCUUACGAGUAUUGAAAGAAAAUAACUCUCUUCAUGAAUACGAAAGAAUAAUACCCCUUACCUCAGAAGAAGACUGGAUACUGGAAUAGUGAGG
Molecule: long non-coding RNA, 518 nt
Filed under: Panax ginseng (ginseng)
Lineage: Eukaryota; Viridiplantae; Streptophyta; Magnoliopsida; Apiales; Araliaceae
Description: long non-coding RNA (PGIN_LNC009825)
Source: RNAcentral